Molecule: transfer RNA, 77 nt
Filed under: Thermoanaerobacteraceae bacterium
Lineage: Bacteria; Bacillati; Bacillota; Clostridia; Thermoanaerobacterales; Thermoanaerobacteraceae
Description: tRNA-Gly
Rfam family: tRNA
About the family: Transfer RNA (tRNA) molecules are approximately 80 nucleotides in length. Their secondary structure includes four short double-helical elements and three loops (D, anti-codon, and T loops).
Source: RNAcentral
GCGGAAGUGGCUCAUAAGUGGUAGAGCAUCCCUUGCCAAGGCGAGGGUCGCGGGUUCGAAUCCCGUCUUCCGCUCCA